RNAcentral lists this non-coding RNA (30 nucleotides) under Mus musculus (house mouse). The record is from RNAcentral. Lineage: Eukaryota; Metazoa; Chordata; Mammalia; Rodentia; Muridae.
UAGUUAAGGCCACCAGAAACAUACCUUUGG